This 445-nucleotide ribosomal RNA is filed under the name uncultured bacterium. Its description in RNAcentral is "partial 16S ribosomal RNA". It matches the Rfam family "Bacterial small subunit ribosomal RNA", at positions 354 to 796 of the family's 1533-position model. The record is from RNAcentral.
GUGAGGAAUAUUGGUCAAUGGGCGGGAGCCUGAACCAGCCAAGUCGCGUGAAGGAAGAAGGAUCUAUGGUUCGUAAACUUCUUUUGCAGGGGAAUAAAGUGCAGGACGUGUCCUGUUUUGUAUGUACCCUGAGAAUAAGGAUCGGCUAACUCCGUGCCAGCAGCCGCGGUAAUACGGAGGAUCCGAGCGUUAUCCGGAUUUAUUGGGUUUAAAGGGUGCGUAGGUGGUUUGAUAAGUCAGCGGUGAAAGUUUGCAGCUUAACUGUAAAAAUGCCGUUGAAACUGUCGGACUUGAGUGUAAAUGAGGUAGGCGGAAUGCGUGGUGUAGCGGUGAAAUGCAUAGAUAUCACGCAGAACUCCGAUUGCGAAGGCAGCUUACUAAGCUACAACUGACACUGAAGCACGAAAGCGUGGGGAUCAAACAGGAUUAGAUACCCCAGUAGUCC